Prunus avium (sweet cherry) is the source of this 778-nucleotide long non-coding RNA. RefSeq lists it as uncharacterized. The record is from RefSeq and is a predicted model, not a curated record. NCBI's taxonomy places the organism in Eukaryota, Viridiplantae, Streptophyta, Magnoliopsida, Rosales, Rosaceae.
UUAAGGGACAUGUGUGGACCUUGUUGAUGCUUAAGAGAACUCCGUGGUAUACCAUCAAAUGGUGUGGGUGUGUGUAGAAUUAUUCUUAGGUUGGCGUCAAACCCUAUUUAGUGGUAGAAGGCAAAAUCUUGGAGAAAAAAAAAAUCAACUCUGUGGAUCAGCAGGGUUUUACAUACUUUCCUGUAUCAAAUUUUGAUCCCAUUUUGCUUUGUAGUUCUUGCUUUGUAGUUCUUGGUGCUUUGUAUUCUAAUGGGAGGGGGAAUUCUAUUUGAAGGGGAGUGGACACCCACAAGGGGAUUCGAACUGAUGCCAUGGGGUUUGCAAACAACGACCUCAACCACUGAGGUUGAUUUUUUGUUUUCUGGCUGUUAGAAAUAUGAAUGCUAUAUAAUGGCCUAACAUUGAUCACGAUGUGUGAAUAAUUAAAAGAAUAAAAGGAAAAGGAAAACUGAGAGAGGAGAGAGAAAAAGAGGGAGAUUUCAGUCUGCGCAAAAAAGGGACAGGAGAGAGAAGAAAGAAGAAAGACAAGGGCACAUGAUAUAAAGCUUUUCGUAGCUUCCCAUUCAGUUUGAUAUUUGUAUAGUGGCCAAAGUUACCAAAUGUUGUAGAGAAUAUCUUUCCCUUCUUUUCUAAAAUUGAGAUGAGCCAUAUGAAUCUUAUUUGAAUAAUUCGCAGUACAGAAGAACAACUUUUUUCCCUCUUCUUUUGGAGACAAAAUCGUACACUUUUUUUUCUUCCCAUUCAAGUAUAUAGCAAGGCAGGCAAGUGUGAUAUAUUA